GGUAGGAUCGAGAUCUAUCGAUUGAUCCACCAGCGACAGUUAGGAGAGUAGACGACGGAGAGUUAGGAGCUUUAUGUAAGUUUUUUUAACUAUUUUUUUAUUGAUAUUUUGAUUUUCAAUAUAAAUUUGGAAUAGCUAUAAUUUUAAUUUUUAGGAUCACAUGAUAGGGAUUAGAUCCCAGCCUACCCUUAAAGAUUUACCGCACCCAC
This 209-nucleotide long non-coding RNA is filed under the name Elaeis guineensis (African oil palm). RNAcentral describes it as "long non-coding RNA (EGUI_LNC007066)". The record is from RNAcentral. Lineage: Eukaryota; Viridiplantae; Streptophyta; Magnoliopsida; Arecales; Arecaceae.